CAAAAAUCGUCUCUGAAGGCGAAAUGACCAAAAUGCCCUCCGUUUGGCUUAACGGGUCAAAAUUGUCUGUACCGAUUGAAAAAUUUUUCUAAGCAUUUUCUUGGCAUUCUAAUGCCAUAGGAACCUCAAUGACCCUUCUCUGGAGUCCCAAAAAUUAUUUUAUAAUUUUUCCCCCGGGUCUAGGGCUCCUCGUUGCGAGAACCGCAACUUCCCUCUGGUUACCCAUCGCUUGGGCACCGGCUCGUUUUGCUUGGUUGUAUUUUAUUUCUAAAAUUUUUCCUAAAUUUUUCUUAUUAAUAUUUGAGUUAAUUAUGGUUCCUCACUUUAGUUUAAAUAUUUUUCCGGACGUUCUAGCUGUCCGGACCGACACCGGUCACCGUAACAGUAGAAUGUACAGAAUUGCUACAAUGAGAGUGUUACAACUCUUCCCCUCUAAUUUAAAUUUCGUCCUCGAAAUUUACCUGAUGCAAACAGUUGAGGGAACUAUUGCCUUAUCGUCUCUUCACUUUCCCAAGUUGCCUCCUCGGUGUUGUGGUGCCUCCAAAGCACUUUCACCAGUGGAAUCUGCUUAUUCCUUAACUCUUUCACUUCUCGAGCCAGGAUCCGUAUGGGUUCUUCUUCAUAUGUCAAAUCCGGUUGUACUUUAAUUUCUUCCAUGGAGAUGAUAUGUGAAGAAUCUGAGCGGUAUCUUCUUAGCAUAGAUACGUGGAACACAUUGUGGAUCUUGUCCAGCUCUGGUGGUAAAGCUAGCCUAUAGGCCACUGGACCCACACGUUCAAUGACUUCAUAUGGGCCAAUGAACCUAGGGCUUAACUUACCUUUUCUUCCAAACCUCAAUACCUUCUUCCACGGUGACACCUUGAGGAACACUUUGUCGCCAACUGCAUAUUCUAUUUCUUUUCUCUUCAGGUCGGCAUAAGAUUUCUGUCUGUCUGAGGCAACCUUCAGAUUGGCUUUAAUUAGCUUUACCUUCUCCUCAGUCUGUUUCACCAGGUCUGGCCCUACCAGUUUGUCUUCGCCCAAUUCAGUCCAGCACACUGGAGUUCUACAUUUUCUCCCAUACAGUGCUUCAUAUGGGGCCAUUUGGAUGCUAGCUUGAUAGCUAUUGUUGUAUGCGAAUUCUGCCAGUGGGAGGUAUCUAUCCCAACUUCCCUCAAACUCAAUGACACAACUCCUCAGCAUAUCCUCAAGGACCUGACAAAUAUUUCAUGUUAUUGUUAUCAUUUCAAUUCAAUAUUUGUAUCAAUUUCGUGGGUUUCAAUUGUUUACCUGGAUUACUCUUUCUGAUUGCCCAUCUGUCUGAGGAUGGAAAGCUAUGCUGAAAUGGAGUUGUGUACCCAAGGAUUCAUGCAACUUCUUCCAAAAUCUCGAUGUAAACCUUGGGUCUCGAUCAGAUAUGAUGGAAAGUGGAAUUCCAUGCAGUCUAACUAUCUCACUGAUAUACAAUUCUGCUAACUUCUCCAGUGAGUAGUCAGUCAUAACUGGCAGAAAGUGUGCUGACUUUGUCAAUCUAUCCACUAUUACCCAUGCUGCAUCAUGUUUCCUCUGGGUGAGAGGCAGACCACUUACAAAAUCCAUGGUGACCCGAUCCCAUUUCCAUUCAGGUAUGCGUAUAGGCUGUAGCAAACCCGAUGGAACUUGAUGUUCUGCCUUGACUUGCUGACAUGUCAAGCAUUUAGUCACAUAGUCAGCUAUGUCCUUCUUCAUACCAGGCCACCAAUAAUGAAGCUUCAGGUCAUAAUACAUUUUUGUACUUCCUAGGUGCAUGGCAUAAACACUGGUGUGUGCCUCUUUUAGAAUACUGGCCUUCAAUUCCCCAUCAUCUGGUACACACAGUCUUCCUUUGUAGUACAGACACCCAUCUGCUUUCACCUCAUAGUCAGUUGCUUUUCCCUCUGAGAUCUUGCUCAUAAUAGCCAGUAACUUUUCAUCUGUCUUUUGCCCAUCUAGUAUCUGCUGUAGCAGGUUUGGCCUCACUUGCAACUCAGCCAAAAUAGCUCCAUCUCGAAUCAAAGAUAGAUGGGCAUUCAAUGAUCUCAAGGCUGUCAUGGAUUUUCUGCUCAAAGCAUCAGCAACUACAUUUGCCUUCCCAGGAUGGUAGUCAAUUACACAGUCAUAAUCCUUCAGGAACUCAAUCCAUCGCCUCUGUCUAAGGUUGAGCUCCUUCUGGGUUGGCAAAUAUUUUAGGCUCUUGUGGUCUGUGUAAACGUAGCACUUUUCACCAUACAAAUAAUGCCUCCAUAUCUUCAGUGCGAAGAUAAUUGCUGCAAGCUCUAGAUCAUGGGUAGGGUAGUUCUGUUCAUGUGGCCUUAGCUGUCUGGAAGCAUAGGCGAUCACUUUCCCCUCUUGCAUCAACACACACCCUAACCCAUUAUGAGAGGCAUCACUGUAAACCACAAAAUCCUUCCCUGACACUGGCUGUGUUAACACUGGUGCCUCUGUCAACAUAGCCUUUAACUUCUCAAAACUGGUCUGGCACUUGUCAUUCCAGUCAAAUCUGACAUUCUUGUGUAACAACUUGGUCAUUGGAGCAGCUAUUAGGGAAAAUCCCUUCACAAAUCUUCUGUAAUACCCAGCUAGCCCCAAGAAGCUUCUGACCUCAGUUGUAUUUCUGGGAGGCUUCCAUUCCAUCACUGCUUCUAUUUUCUUGGGAUCCACCCUAAUCCCAUCAGCUGACACUAUGUGUCCAAGGAAUGCAAUCUCAUUCAACCAGAAGUCACACUUGGACAACUUAGCAUACAGCUUCUUUUCUCUCAGGGUUUGCAGAACAAUCCUCAAAUGCUCAUCAUGUUCUUCCCUGGUCUUGGAAUACACCAAAAUAUCAUCAAUAAAGACCACUACGAACCGAUCUAAGUGUGGAUGGAAGAGACGGUUCAUAAGGUCCAUGAAUGCCGCUGGUGCAUUUGUUAGGCCAAAGGGCAUCACUAGAAACUCAUAAUGCCCAUAUCGGGUCCUGAAUGCAGUCUUUGGCACAUCUGCAUCCUUCACCCUCAACUGAUGAUACCCUGAUCUGAGAUCAAUCUUAGAAAAUACUCCUGCUCCCUUCAACUGAUCAAACAGAUCAUCAAUUCUAGGCAACGGAUAUUUGUUCUUCACAGUCACUUUAUUCAACUGCCGGUAAUCAAUACAUAGCCUCAAAGUCCCAUCCUUCUUCUUUACAAACAGCACUGGAGCUCCCCAUGGUGACACACUGGGGCGUAUGAACCCCUUAUCAAGCAACUCUUGCAACUGAGUUUUCAACUCCCUCAAUUCAGUGGGUGCCAUCCUAUAAGGAGCAAUGGAAAUGGGUGCUGUACCCGGCAGUGUCUCAAUAGCAAAUUCAACUUCCCUUUCUGGUGGCAAACCAGGCAACUCUUCAGGAAAUACCUCUGGGAAGUCUCUCACUGUGGGUAUGUCACUCAAGUUUGGCUUAGCCUGCCUAGUAUCCACCACAUGUGCUAGGUAGGCUUCACAGCCUUUUCUCAUCAUUCUUCUUGCAACUGUGGCUGAGAUGACAUUGGACAAGAAAUCUGUCCUUUCCCCCACAACUGUGAUCUCAUUACCCUCUGAAGUUUUUAGAGAAAUUCUCUUCAAUUUGCAAUCAACUAUUGCCUGAUGACGUGACAACCAGUCCAUUCCCAAAAUCACGUCAAACUCAUGGAAAGGCAACUCAAUCAGGUCUGCCAAGAAUUCAUACCCCUGAAUCCUUAACGGGCAACCCUUGUAUACUUUGUUCACCACUACACUGUGGCCCAAUGGAUUAGUGACCAGAAUGUCUUGGUCACUCUCCCCUACUAGUAUCCCCCUUUCUACGGGUAGGUUGAUGCAGAUGUAUGAAUGAGUGGAUCCUGGAUCCACCAAUGCAUGCACAGAUGUAUUGUAGAGGGAGAACGUACCCCUGAUGACGUCCGGGGCA
This 3895-nucleotide unclassified non-coding RNA is filed under the name Hevea brasiliensis (rubber tree). The record is from RNAcentral. Lineage: Eukaryota; Viridiplantae; Streptophyta; Magnoliopsida; Malpighiales; Euphorbiaceae.